Molecule: unclassified non-coding RNA, 1311 nt
Filed under: Hevea brasiliensis (rubber tree)
Lineage: Eukaryota; Viridiplantae; Streptophyta; Magnoliopsida; Malpighiales; Euphorbiaceae
Source: RNAcentral
UUAAAUCACUCAAAAGAUAACACAUUCUUUAUUGAACAUGAUUGCACUUAAUAUAUGUACAACUUGAGUAUGAAAUCAUCAAUAUAACUCAGCUUAAAGAAAAAUCAGUCAAUUGAAUUAAUUCUAGCAAACAUCGAAUGCAUUAUAUAUAAAACGUAUGCAUAAAUUAAUACUAUUUAAAAAGAGACUAUUCACAAAGUUUCGAAUCCUAAAACUAAGAAAACAUUUCAAAAUUGUACCCAUCUGUUAAAUCUGUGGAAAUCCCACUUGCACCUCUCAGUCUCCUCCUGCUCUCAUAGUCCUGAUCAUCGGUGGGCAACUCAUAUCGACAAAGAGGACAAGUAUUUCUUAUCCUCAACCAAGGUACAAUACACUCUCCAUGAUAAUAAUGGCAACAAGGCAGCUUAUUUACCAUCUCCCCAUCCACAACCUCAUCCGUGCAAAUAGCACAAACCACAAGUUCCUCCUUUCCCAAGUCUACCAGAGGCAGGUUUUCCACUACUCUUUUUGCAGCGGGUGGCGUUCCCAUCCAAUCAAUGUCAUUAUCCACCAACUGCUCCAAAGGGGUAUCAUAAUCAGCAUCAAACAUAAAAGGAUCCUCAAUCAAAUUGACUUGAUUGUUAAUGGCCAUUAAUAGUCCCCACUCAAUACUCCUUUCCUCAUCUUCCACUGGGGCUGAAAUACUGGAUGAUGAUAGCGAUAAUUCCUCGACGCUAUCAAUCGCCAUAAUCAGAUUUUCACUUUCGUUGGUUGCUUGGUCCAAUUCCUCCCAUUCAAAUUCCUCAUUAGAAUUCACCAAUCCCAUGCGAUCAUCAAUAAAACUAUCCAAAUCAACAAUCUCACCGUCAGAACACGAAUCCGACUCCGAAUCAAUACUGGCAACCCGAAGUCCAUCGGCACGAACUUCAUCCCUACCCAAUUCAACCCCAAACCCAGAUCCUAACUCUUCCAUAUAGCUCGAGAGAGCAUCAAGAUUGUAGCUAUCUUCAAGACUCCACGAAUCCAAAUCAUCCGUGGACUGCAUUGCCACAUCUAGAUCCAAAUCCAACCCGUGAUCACCAAGACUGACCCGUCGGUAUGGCUCGACAGGAUAGCCGCGUUGACUGGAAUCGGAAUUAGAACCAGAAUCGGAACAGGAGUCGCAGCGGAUGCCGGAGACCCACUCAGAACAAGUGACAGAAAACAUGGCGUACCAGGCUUGGAGGGGAUUGUCUUCUCGGGAUUCCGGGACAAGGUUCGUAUUCAGGUCUAGGUUUAGGUCUGGACCGUCUGGUUCAGGAAAGCUAGAAAUAUUAGACGUGACCUAAAAAC